RNAcentral lists this ribosomal RNA (454 nucleotides) under uncultured bacterium. RNAcentral's name for it is "partial 16S ribosomal RNA". It matches the Rfam family "Bacterial small subunit ribosomal RNA", at positions 28 to 507 of the family's 1533-position model. The record is from RNAcentral.
GAUGAACGCUGACAGAAUGCUUAACACAUGCAAGUCAACUUGAACUUCGGUUUGGGUGGCGGACGGGUGAGUAACGCGUAAAGAACUUGCCUCACAGAUAGGGACAACAUUUGGAAACGAAUGCUAAUACCUGAUAUUAUGAUUUUAGGGCAUCCUAGGAUUAUGAAAGCUAUAUGCGCUGUGAGAGAGCUUUGCGUCCCAUUAGCUAGUUGGAGAGGUAACGGCUCACCAAGGCGAUGAUGGGUAGCCGGCCUGAGAGGGUGAUCGGCCACAAGGGGACUGAGACACGGCCCUUACUCCUACGGGAGGCAACAGUGGGGAAUAUUGGACAAUGGACCAAGAGUCUGAUCCAGCAAUUCUGUGUGCACGAUGAAGUUUUUCGGAAUGUAAAGUGCUUUCAGUUGGGAAGAAAAAAAUGACGGUACCAGCAGAAGAAGUGACGGCUAAAUACGUG